CAUUCCCUCUAAAAUGCCUCGCCAGACACGCCACGGGCCACUGCGCCGGAAGUCGCUUCCGGCGACGGUGGCCACCAAAACACACACCGGAGUUAACAAAAAGUUCAUCUCCUCACGCUCUGCUUGGAUCCUUAGUCAAUUUCACGAAAUCGGAGCCUCACAACCCUAACCGAAGCUCCACUCUCCAAGAACCCUAAAGUGUAAUCCUCAAAUUAAAUUCUAACCUCAAUGAUUCAAAGCCCUAGGGAUGAGGGCUUCAAAUCCUCUCUUCACUCUCUACAUACUGGUAACCAAGCAUUGAAGAAAUGCGAAGGUUUACAGAAUUACCUUGUUGGAAGUCGCGACGGUGAUGAUUUGAUUCCAGGUCAAAACAUGUUUCCAUGUGCUCAUGCCUCUAUUGCAUUGGACUGUUGGUGUAAGGCAUUCGUGUUAAUUUGAAAUGAAUUUGAAGCCAAUUUUCAAGUGAAUUUGAAGUUGAAUUUAUAAUGAACUUGUUGUGUUAUUGGUUUAGGUCAUGGGCCACUGCCUUUGUAGGGUUUGUAACAAGUGGUUUGUGGCAUGCAUAUGAAUCAUGGCUUUGUUUUGGCAAUGAAAGGAUCCUGUAGGUAUGACUUGGAUUUGAGACAGGUUUGUGGUUGUGCAGGUAUAUGAACUGUUAGAUAUGAACUUGUGCACGUUAUUCCUGGCAGGUAAGGUCUUUUGCAAUGUAAAUUGUUUCACAUUAUCUUGCUACAAGUUGGAUCAAAGUUCAUGAAUUGCCCCCAAUCCACAACCUGGUUUGUUGUAGGAUUUUAUUUGGUGCAUGCUUGUAUUCUAUUGCAGGUGUGGUAAUGUUCUUCUCUAUGUUUUUGUGUCCACCAUAGUGCGGAUGGAAUGGCUGCAUGCCAGAUUACUAGGACUGAUGUGUUGUUGUAAUUUUGUUGCAAACUCUGCAGGUUGAUGUAAGGCAUUGCUCAACAAAGUUGCAAGGCAAAUCCUGGUGUACCAUGAACUCAUGACUUUUGUGCAAGUCAACUGGUUUUGGCAUAGUGAGUCCAUGCUUUCUAGUAGUUGGCAUAUUUUAUGGCAGAUUGGGCAUGAUCUGGUGUGUUGGCUGCAGGCUGAAGGAUGCUAGGCAUGGUGUAGUAGGUCCUGAGCUGUCAUGAUUUUUCUUUGCAGGAUUUCAUAAGUCUGCUACAGGAAAUCACAUUCUGACUUGGACAGGUUACGGAGAUGUAAUAGCUAGGCCAUCUUAUUUGAUCAGAACCAAAGGCCAUGUAGCUUGGAUUAAGGCUUGGUGGACAUGAUUAUGAACAUGGACAAUGUUACUUAUAAAUGAAGAAACAUGGCACAAGCAAACCAACAUGACCUUUAGAUGAUGAAUCAAGGCAAGGUGGAUUAGAUUAUAUCUUAGGUGGCCAAAAAGGGAUGAGUUGACGUUGGUCAAAGUUGACCAAAAAGUCAAUUGUUGACCAAAGUCAACACUUGGUCAAAGUUGCUAAAAUUUGUAAUUUUUCAUGUAAUGAUCAAUGUAAUGGAUCGAAUGGAUUGUAAAUGGAUCGUAAUAGAUUGAAUGGAAGUUAGAUGGUU
Lathyrus oleraceus (garden pea) is the source of this 1569-nucleotide long non-coding RNA. RefSeq lists it as uncharacterized. The record is from RefSeq and is a predicted model, not a curated record. Lineage: Eukaryota; Viridiplantae; Streptophyta; Magnoliopsida; Fabales; Fabaceae. The transcript has 5 exons.